Molecule: microRNA, 21 nt
Filed under: Corchorus olitorius
Lineage: Eukaryota; Viridiplantae; Streptophyta; Magnoliopsida; Malvales; Malvaceae
Description: osa-miR14
Source: RNAcentral
UUUUGAAACGGAGGGAGUAUU